GCUAAACAGGAUCAACGUUUCAUACCCCUGGUUCAAGGGUUAGAAAGCCACAGGCAGACAUAUUCAAGAGCUGGAGUUGGUGACAGUGAACAUAGACGCAUGUUGUGCAGAGCUGAAGCAGGUGUAUAAAGUGGGAGGUCUGUCUGCGGUCAAAGUCCUGGGACACUUGCCAGUGCAUGUCUGCCUCUUUGCUCUCACCUUAAAUGCUUCAGGCAUCUUUGCCAUUCUUGGCACUAUCUUUCUUUCUUUCUUUCAUUCCAUCUUUCUAGUCACUAUAUUUUUUCCAAUGUUGUCCUGUAGAGUCAAUUAACAAAUCACUCACAAGUGUCACUUCCAGGGGAGUUUCUAUCCAAAUGUCGUUGCCGCUUUGACAUAAGGUCAGAGCCGUUAUCUGUAGCUCCAUUAAAUGCACUUUUGUAGAUCUGUAGUGUCACCCCUUCACCAACCCCCCAGGCUGAACAUCUGGUCAAGCCAGGUUCUGUGAGCCAUGGAGAAGAGCUCAUUAAGAAGACCGGCAUCCAAGCCGAGCAACAGGCCCACUAAUCCAGCCCACUGCCAACCCACUGCCCCUCACAGACAGGUUCAUCUGGGGGACGAGUGCAGUCUCCAUGAAGGGAGAAACCAAGCAGGGGGGUUGGAGACUACAGCAACUGAGAGCGCAUGUGAUUCCUUAUGCCUUAUGAGUCAAUGAACACCUGAACAUGUUUAGCACAUUAAUGAGACAUCUGUUUAAAACUAAAAAUCUCUCAUAAUGUGUUUUUUGAAACUUAAGCUGCCUAACCUUGCUGCCUGGUGAGUCUCUGUUUACAACAAUGUUAUUUUGGUAUAACUGAGAUAAUAUUACAGUUUUUUUUGUUUGUUUGUUUUGAAUUAGUUUUUAUUUUUGUAUUUUGUUUUCAUUUUUAUUUUUGGUUUGUUGGGAGAUUUUGUCACUUAUUAGUUAUUGUUUUACUUUUUUUGUACUUUUUUAAUUUUAGUUAUUUUAGUACAUUAAGUUAAAGUAAAUGAAAGUGAGAUGUUUUAUAUAUAUAUAUAUAUAUGUGUGUGUGUGUGUGUGUAUGUUUAAUUUUAUUUCACAUAACAGGUUAUUUUAUUUCAAGUAAUUUUUUUUAUGGUUUUAAUUUUAGUUAACUAUAAGAAUCCUGGUUUACAAGUGCAAUAAUUGAGCUACAGCUGGGUUUAUAGGCAGUCAAGAAACAGUCCUCAUUUUCAUCUAUCAUAAAGUUUGCCCAAGGAUCCAGCUUAUUUGGAACCUUAUUAUGAUUUUCUUUGAAUGUGUGAGACUUCGAGUUCAUUAGUCAGUAUAGGUAGGUAACUAGAACAACAACAAUGUGUAGUAAACAAUAAAUUAAUAAAAUGCUAUAAUAAAUAUCAAUUUCCAACAUCAAGCAGCAUAACGAUGUCUUCCACGUUCAAGUUAAAAAUGGUUGCAUCAGUUCUUGUGUUAAAAAAAUAAAUAUGGUGGAAACAUGACACAGUAAUUGAUCAUAUAAAGAAUUAAAUAUGACACUAAACCCCCCUGUCUUUCAGAGCAUGCACACAACAUCAAGGUCAGUUAAAGUCUGACUUACAUGUAUUACUCUUGCUGGAUAAAGCAGAGCUAGAA
Cyprinus carpio carpio is the source of this 1606-nucleotide long non-coding RNA. Lineage: Eukaryota; Metazoa; Chordata; Actinopteri; Cypriniformes; Cyprinidae. The record is from Ensembl.